Molecule: ribosomal RNA, 492 nt
Filed under: uncultured bacterium
Lineage: Bacteria
Description: partial 16S ribosomal RNA
Rfam family: Bacterial small subunit ribosomal RNA
Source: RNAcentral
AGUGAACGCUGGCGGUAGGCCUAACACAUGCAAGUCGAACGGCAGCACAGUAAGAGCUUGCUCUUACGGGUGGCGAGUGGCGGACGGGUGAGGAAUACAUCGGAAUCUACUUUUUCGUGGGGGAUAACGUAGGGAAACUUACGCUAAUACCGCAUACGACCUACGGGUGAAAGCAGGGGAUCUUCGGACCUUGCGCGAUUGAAGGAGCCGAUGUCGGAUUAGCUAGUUGGCGGGGUAAGGGCCCACCAAGGCGACGAUCCGUAGCUGGUCUGAGAGGAUGAUCAGCCACACUGGAACUGAGACACGGUCCAGACUCCUACGGGAGGCAGCAGUGGGGAAUAUUGGACAAUGGGCGCAAGCCUGAUCCAGCCAUACCGCGUGGGUGAAGAAGGCCUUCGGGUUGUAAAGCCCUUUUGUUGGGAAAGAAAAGCAGCAGGUUAAUACCCCGCUGUUCUGACGGUACCCAAAGAAUAAGCACCGGCUAACUUCGUG